CCUUGAGCCCAGAGAGGGCAGAAUAAUUAGUUUCUGUCUGAAAGUGACUGAAUAUUUACAAUGAUUUCUGAGUGCGGUGGGUGGAGUGUUCCAGCCUAGAGUGAAGAUGAUUUUUAUGCUGCAGCUCAUGUCCUUCAGUCUUGCCUUCGUGUCAACGUUUUUCUUGAUUGUGGCGACCUGGACUGAUUGCUGGAUGGUGAACGCUGAUGACAGCUUGGAGGUCAGCCAGAAAUGCAGGGGUUUGUGGUGGGAGUGUGUGACCAAUUCCAUGGAUGGGAUCAGGACGUGUGACCAAUAUGACUCCAUCUUAGCAGAACAUCCACGUAAGUAGCGAAGGAACAGCAGAAGUGGAAUAUUGAAGUAACUAUGGAUUGUGAUUGUGGGUACGGAUAACUCUGAUUGAGGGACCAAAUCGUAAUUGUUAUGCCCGAAAAAAACCAGAGAAGCAACCUAUACCCGAAAAAAUAAUUUCCAAAUACCUUGACUCCAUCCUAUCCCCCUAGCUUAAAUCCCUCCCUACCUAUGUUCAAGACACCUCAGACACUCUCUGUCGUCUCCGCGCAUUCCAUUCUCUAGGCCCUCACCCCCUCAUCUUCACCAUGGACGUCCAGUCACUCUACACCUCCAUCCCCCACCAGGAUGGCCUCAAAGCCCUCCAGUUCUUCCUCGACCAGAGAAGCAACUUAUACCCGGCCACUGACACUUACGCCCGGCCACUGGACUACACUUCUUCCCACCCUGCUUCCUGUAAGGACUCCAUCCCCUACUCCCAAUUCCUCCGUCUACGCUGCAUCUGCUCCACGGGUGAGGCGUUCCACACCAGGGCAUCUGAAAUGACCUUUCUUCAGGGAACGGUGGUUCCCCUCCUCCACCAUAGAUGAGGCUCGCACCAGUUUCUUCCAUACCCCGCAACACUGCUCUCUCUCCCCAUCCCCCCACUCGCAACAAGGGCAGAGUCCCUCUAGUCCUCACCUUUCACCCCACCAGCCAUCACAUACAACAAGUAAUCCUCCGUCAGUUUCGCCACCUCCAACGUGACCCCACCACUCACCACAUCUUCCCAUCUCCCCCCAUAUCUGCCUUCCGCAAAGACCGCUCCCUCCAUAACUCCCUUGUCAAUUCUUCCCUUCCCUCCCGUACCACCCCCUCCCUGGGCAC
Molecule: long non-coding RNA, 1158 nt
Organism: Leucoraja erinaceus (little skate)
Lineage: Eukaryota; Metazoa; Chordata; Chondrichthyes; Rajiformes; Rajidae
Exons: 3
Source: RefSeq, a predicted model, not a curated record